UACGUAGGGUGCAAGCGUUGUCCGGAAUUAUUGGGCGUAAAGAGCGCGCAGGCGGUAUGACCAGUCAGAUGUGAAAGAGGCCGGCUUAACCGGCAAGGGUCAUUUGAAACUGUCAGACUAGAGUGCAGCAGAGGAUAGUGGAAUUCCCGGUGUAGUGGUGAAAUGCGUAGAUAUCGGGAGGAACACCAGUGGCGAAGGCGACUAUCUGGGCUGCAACUGACGCUGAGGCGCGAAAGCGUGGGGAGCAAACAGG
Molecule: ribosomal RNA, 253 nt
Filed under: uncultured bacterium
Lineage: Bacteria
Description: partial 16S ribosomal RNA
Rfam family: Bacterial small subunit ribosomal RNA
Source: RNAcentral